UCAGCAUUUAAAAAAUAUUUUAUAAGCUCAUUCAUCUUCAAUUUGACAUGUAUUUUUGAGUACGAGCUUUAUUCAAAGAACCACAUUGGAAACAAAUACAAAGGUUAUCACUCUGAACAACAGUUGUCAGUGAUGGAGAGACUGAACUGAAAACAUACCUGGACAUACCUCAGAAAUGAUCUCUAUAUCCCAUCUUCACCAAUUUUCUGGACCUGAACUUAGAAAAGGGCAUUUCUGGUCUACCAUCUCCCUGCACACACAGGUGAAUUACAGUAUUAUUCAGCUUUGAUUAUGUAAUUUUCAAGUUUUCUGUAUACGUUAACAAACUUUAUAUUUUCUAAAUGUUUUUAAACUCAAUUUUCUUUAAAUAACCAAGUGUUGAAAACUUUACA
RNAcentral lists this long non-coding RNA (392 nucleotides) under Canis lupus dingo (dingo). Its description in RNAcentral is "lncRNA (ENSCAFG00020011925.1)". Lineage: Eukaryota; Metazoa; Chordata; Mammalia; Carnivora; Canidae. The record is from RNAcentral.